ACGAACGCUGGCGGCGUGCUUAACACAUGCAAGUCGUACGGUAAGGCCCUUUCGGGGGUACACGAGUGGCGAACGGGUGAGUAACACGUGAGUAACCUGCCCACAACUUUGGGAUAACGCUAGGAAACUGGUGCUAAUACUGGAUAUGUGCUCCUGCUGCAUGGUGGGGGUUGGAAAGCUCCGGCGGUUGUGGAUGGACUCGCGGCCUAUCAGCUUGUUGGUGGGGUAGUGGCCUACCAAGGCGGCGACGGGUAGCCGGCCUGAGAGGGUGACCGGCCACAGUGGGACUGAGAGACGGCCCAGACUCCUACGGGAGGCAGCAGUGGGGAAUAUUGCACAAUGGGCGCAAGCCUGAUGCAGCAACGCCGCGUGCGGGAGGACGGCCUUCGGGUUGUAAACCGCUUUCAGCAGGGACGAAGCUUUUUGUGACGGUACCUGCAGAAGAAGCACCGGCUAACUACGUG
Molecule: ribosomal RNA, 464 nt
Filed under: uncultured bacterium
Lineage: Bacteria
Description: partial 16S ribosomal RNA
Rfam family: Bacterial small subunit ribosomal RNA
Source: RNAcentral